UACGGAGGGUGCAAGCGUUGUUCGGAAUCACUGGGCGUAAAGCGCGUGUAGGCGGCUAUCUAAGUCUGAUGUGAAAGCCCUGGGCUCAACUCAGGAAGUGCAUUGGAUACUGGAUAGCUGGAGUACCGGAGAGGAGGGUGGAAUUCCUGGUGUAGCGGUGAAAUGCGUAGAUAUCAGGAGGAACACCGGUGGCGAAGGCGGUUGCCUGGGGCUGUGCUGACGCUGAUGCGCGAAAGCGUGGGGAGCGAGCCGG
This 253-nucleotide ribosomal RNA is filed under the name uncultured bacterium. RNAcentral describes it as "partial 16S ribosomal RNA". It matches the Rfam family "Bacterial small subunit ribosomal RNA", at positions 524 to 776 of the family's 1533-position model. The record is from RNAcentral.